ACACGUAUGAAAGACAAGCUGAAAGACUUUUCUCAAUGAUGUAAGUGGUGGUGCAUGGUCGUUCUUAGUUCGUGGAUUGAUUUGUCUGGUCUAUUCCGAUAACGAGCGAGACCCCUACGUUCCUAAUAGGGGCGUCAGCCCGGCUUGUUCCCGCAAGGGAGCCUGCCAGCCGAUGCCUUAGAACUAGCUUCUUAGACGUAUCAGAGCCGAUAAGGUUCUUGAAAUGGGUUAAUAACAGGUCAGUCAUGCCCUUAGAUGUUCUGGGCCGCACGCGCGUUACAAUGGCAUGUAAAGAAAGUGCUCAUAAGGGCAUAUCCGCGGCCUAACGGUCGCGGUAACCCUUAAUCCCUGCCUUGACUGGGAUAGACUAUUGCAAUUAUUGGUCUUAAACGAGGAAUUUUUAGUAGUCGCAGGUCAUUAACCUGCGACGA
RNAcentral lists this ribosomal RNA (431 nucleotides) under Diachea radiata. RNAcentral's name for it is "SSU rRNA". It matches the Rfam family "Eukaryotic small subunit ribosomal RNA", at positions 1230 to 1644 of the family's 1831-position model. The record is from RNAcentral. Lineage: Eukaryota; Evosea; Eumycetozoa; Stemonitida; Stemonitidae.